Rattus norvegicus (Norway rat) is the source of this 153-nucleotide small nuclear RNA. Ensembl annotates it as U2 spliceosomal RNA. The record is from Ensembl. NCBI's taxonomy places the organism in Eukaryota, Metazoa, Chordata, Mammalia, Rodentia, Muridae.
AUCGCUUCUCGGCCUUUUGGCUAAGAUCAAGUGUAGUAUAAAGUCAAAUAGACUAAGUAUUUGAAAACAGUUCUCAUGUGGCCUCAAACUCUAAACUUACUACACAGCACAGCAUAACCUUGUUCUCAUUUCUCAAGGGCUAGAUGAAUAGUC